AAUUUUUAUAAAUUAAUUCAAAUAUAAAGAGCACCACUUAAAAAAAGAAAAAAAAACUAUCAUAACUCUUGGAACUAGAAAUGAAAUUUGCUAUCCAUAUAAUUCCAUCACAUCUAUAAAAAUAUGGUGAUUGUUAAACUAAAUAAUAUAUGUGUUGAAUAUAAUAUUAGAAAAACCACACUAACAUUAGGUCUAAUAAUAAAAUUAAAAGUAUGAAAGUCAAUUAAAUUCAAACUAACGAACACCUUUACAAUAUUGAGGUAAACUAAAAUUCAAACACAAGAAAUGGCUAAUUGUCAACAUUCUAUAAUGGAGAAUUAAAUGCUGGCCUAAGGUGAAGUUAUAUUAUUCUACUCCUUGUUGACAAUGAUAGACUCUUCAUUUUAAGGUUAAGGUAUAGUCCACAAAACUUGUGUAUGCAGUCCCACUGGUCGAGCGACAUUGAUUAAAGCAUGAUUGGCUUGUUCAGAACUAUUGCCAAUUGUUUGUUCAUUGACAUCUAUAUUUUGCGAUUGUAGGCUAGUUCCAUGCUAUCCAAAAAAGAAAAAAAAGACCUUAAUUUCAUUUAAAUGAAAAAAAAAAUGAAUCAAUCUAUCUUAUAUAAUUCCAUAAUCAGAUCAAACAUAUACAAUUAGUGAUAUCCUAUUGGUUGGCCACACACCACCAAGACAUUAAUCCAUUUGAUAACAUAACAAAAAAAAAGAUAAAUAAAAAGAAAUCUAUUUUCAUCAGUAACAAUAUCAGACCUCUCACAUGGAGAAUGCUAUAGUUUUUGUAACAUUAACUUAGUUUUUUUUUUUUAAAGAACAUUAACUUAGGUUACUUGAGUUUACUUUAAACUGUAGUCACCUAUCAAAAAUAAAGAAUAAGGAGGUGCUCAAUUGAUUUUUACUAAAAUGUCCUCAAUACUGUUAACAAUUUUAAGGAUGGCAAAAUCCGGAUCCGGAUUCAGAUGUAGGUGCAUUCGGAUCUAGAUCUGCAUUUAUAUUUUUAUAUCCGGAUCCACAUUUGGAUCCGUAAAAAAAAUGUGGAUCUAGACGCGGUUAAUAUCCUUAAUGGAUGCGGGUGGAUAUUCCAAAUAUCAAUAAAAAUCAAUUGGAAUCAACAAAAAUCAAUGUUGUUAACUUAACAUUUUUAAUGGAGGAAUUAAGUUAAGGACUUGAAUGACAUAAAUUUGUACUUGAAAGUAUUUAAUUGAUUCAUUUUAUAAACUUAUGGUCUAAAAUUUUUUUAACAAAUAAUAAGGACUCAAUUAAAUAUUAUCCGCAUUUUUAUUGAAGGGUGAAUUUCUUUGGACUCCUUGACUUUUAUUGAAAUAUCAGACAUGUAAUGAAAAUUAAAAACAAUUUAAUUACCUUCCUUUACCAUUCUCAAUUGUUACAAAAACUCAUGCUUUAAUUAUUUUGAAGGUAAAAUAGUUA
This 1421-nucleotide long non-coding RNA is filed under the name Citrus x clementina. Its description in RNAcentral is "Citrus clementina (C. clementina) long non-coding RNA (CCLE_LNC001882)". The record is from RNAcentral. Lineage: Eukaryota; Viridiplantae; Streptophyta; Magnoliopsida; Sapindales; Rutaceae.